CGGAACGUGCCCAGUAGCGGGGGAUAACUACGCGAAAGCGUAGCUAAUACCGCAUACGCCCUUAGGGGGAAAGCAGGGGAUCGCAAGACCUUGCACUAUUGGAGCGGCCGAUAUCGGAUUAGCUAGUUGGUGAGGUAAUGGCUCACCAAGGCCGCGAUCCGUAGCUGGUUUGAGAGGACGACCAGCCACACUGGGACUGAGACACGGCCCAGACUCCUACGGGAGGCAGCAGUGGGGAAUUUUGGACAAUGGGGGAAACCCUGAUCCAGCCAUCCCGCGUGUGCGAUGAAGGCCUUCGGGUUGUAAAGCACUUUUGGCAGGAAAGAAACGGCGCGUGCUAAUACCAUGCGCAACUGACGGUACCUGCAGAAUAAGCACCGGCUAACUACGUGCCAGCAGCCGCGGUAAUACGUAGGGUGCAAGCAUUAAUCGGAAUUACUGGGCGUAAAGCGUGCGCAGGCGGUUCGGAAAGAAAGAUGUGAAAUCCCAGGGCUCAACCUUGGAACUGCAUUUUUAACUACCGGACUAGAGUAUGUCAGAGGGAGGUGGAAUUCCACGU
RNAcentral lists this ribosomal RNA (559 nucleotides) under uncultured bacterium. RNAcentral describes it as "bacterial SSU rRNA". It matches the Rfam family "Bacterial small subunit ribosomal RNA", at positions 119 to 674 of the family's 1533-position model. The record is from RNAcentral.